AGGGUUUGAUCCUGGCUCAGGACGAACGCUGGCGGCGGGCCUAACACAUGCAAGUCGAACGCACUCGACCUUCGGGUCACAUGAGUGAGUGGCGAACGGGUGAGUAACACGUGAGAAACCCGUCCCGAAGACUGGAAUAACCCGAGGAAACUCGGGCUAAUACCGGAUGCCCCCACCGGAUCGCAUGAUCUGGUGAGGAAAUGCUCCGGCGCUUCGGGAGGGUCUCGCGGCCUAUCAGUUAGUUGGUGAGGUAACGGCUCACCAAGGCAUCGACGGGUAGCUGGUCUGAGAGGACGAUCAGCCACACUGGGACUGAGACACGGCCCAGACUCCUACGGGAGGCAGCAGUGGGGAAUCUUGCGCAAUGGGCGAAAGCCUGACGCAGCCACGCCGCGUGAGGGAUGAAGGCUUUCGGGUUGUAAACCUCUUUCAGCAGGGACGAAAAUGACGGUACCUGCAGAAGAAGCUCCGGCCAACUACGUGCCAGCAGCCGCGGUAAUUC
Molecule: ribosomal RNA, 502 nt
Filed under: uncultured bacterium
Lineage: Bacteria
Description: bacterial SSU rRNA
Rfam family: Bacterial small subunit ribosomal RNA
Source: RNAcentral